GACGAACGCUGGCGGCGUGCCUAAUACAUGCAAGUAGAACGCUGAAGGAGGAGCUUGCUUCUCCGGAUGAGUUGCGAACGGGUGAGUAACGCGUAGGUAACCUGCCUGGUAGCGGGGGAUAACUAUUGGAAACGAUAGCUAAUACCGCAUAACAGUAGAUGUUGCAUGACAUUUGCUUAAAAGGUGCAAUUGCACCACUACCAGAUGGACCUGCGUUGUAUUAGCUAGUUGGUGAGGUAACGGCUCACCAAGGCGACGAUACAUAGCCGACCUGAGAGGGUGAUCGGCCACACUGGGGCUGAGACACGGCCCAGACUCCUACGGGAGGCAGCAGUAGGGAAUCUUCGGCAAUGGACGGAAGUCUGACCGAGCAACGCCGCGUGAGUGAAGAAGGUUUUCGGAUCGUAAAGCUCUGUUGUAAGAGAAGAACGAGUGUGAGAGUGGAAAGUUCACACUGUGACGGUAUCUGACCAGAAAGGGACGGCUAACUACGUG
This 495-nucleotide ribosomal RNA is filed under the name uncultured bacterium. RNAcentral describes it as "partial 16S ribosomal RNA". It matches the Rfam family "Bacterial small subunit ribosomal RNA", at positions 28 to 507 of the family's 1533-position model. The record is from RNAcentral.